AGGAUGAACGCUGGCGGCGUGCUUAACACAUGCAAGUCGAACGAUGAAGGCUGGAGCUUGCUCUGGCUGGAUUAGUGGCGAACGGGUGAGUAACACGUGAGUAACCUGCCCCAGACUCUGGGAUAAGCGCUGGAAACGGCGUCUAAUACCGGAUACGAGCUUCCACCGCAUGGUGAGGAGCUAGGGAAAAGUAUUUCGGUCUGGGAUGGACUCGCGGCCUAUCAGCUUGUUGGUGAGGUAAUGGCCCACAAGGCGACGACGGGUA
This 265-nucleotide ribosomal RNA is filed under the name uncultured soil bacterium. Its description in RNAcentral is "partial 16S ribosomal RNA". It matches the Rfam family "Bacterial small subunit ribosomal RNA", at positions 26 to 285 of the family's 1533-position model. The record is from RNAcentral.